GGAGAGGGUGGUGGUGGCGACGGAGAAGGAGGCGGCGGUGAAGGAGAAGGAGGCGGUGGCGACGGAGAAGGAGGUGGUGGCGACGGAGAAGGAGGUGGUGGCGACGGAGAAGGAGGUGGUGGCGACGGAGAAGGAGGUGGUGGCGACCGAGAGGGGGGUGGUGGGGGCGGAGGUGGCGGACGAUGGCGAGGAAACCACCAAGGUCUUUCCCGCUGCGCAGAAACCGAGGACGCCAAGAGAAGGUUCAGCAAGAGGACUGCAGUGAUGACGCUGAAUUUGGAAGCCAUGACAAUGGAGAUGGCUGCGCGAACGAACGGCGAUUGAGUGAUACACUGCUCCUUCU
RNAcentral lists this long non-coding RNA (343 nucleotides) under Spirodela polyrhiza (greater duckweed). RNAcentral describes it as "long non-coding RNA (SPOL_LNC000356)". The record is from RNAcentral. Lineage: Eukaryota; Viridiplantae; Streptophyta; Magnoliopsida; Alismatales; Araceae.